Molecule: non-coding RNA, 27 nt
Filed under: Mus musculus (house mouse)
Lineage: Eukaryota; Metazoa; Chordata; Mammalia; Rodentia; Muridae
Source: RNAcentral
UGGCACAGGAUGUGAGACAGGUGUCGG